RNAcentral lists this ribosomal RNA (433 nucleotides) under uncultured bacterium. RNAcentral's name for it is "partial 16S ribosomal RNA". It matches the Rfam family "Bacterial small subunit ribosomal RNA", at positions 29 to 507 of the family's 1533-position model. The record is from RNAcentral.
AACGAACGCUGGCGGCAUGCCUAACACAUGCCAGUCGAACGAGACCUUCGGGUCUAGUGGCGCACGGGUGCGUAACGCGUGGGAACCUGCCCUUAGGUUCGGAAUAACUCCCCGAAAGGGGUGCUAAUACCGGAUAAUGUCUUCGGACCAAAGAUUUAUCGCCUUUGGAUGGGCCCGCGUUGGAUUAGCUAGUUGGUAGGGUAAAAGCCUACCAAGGCGACGAUCCAUAGCUGGUCUGAGAGGAUGAUCAGCCACACUGGGACUGAGACACGGCCCAGACUCCUACGGGAGGCAGCAGUGGGGAAUACUGGACAAUGGGCGAAAGCCUGAUCCAGCAAUGCCGCGUGAGUGAUGAAGGCCUUAGGGUUGUAAAGCUCUUUUACCCGGGAUGAUAAUGACAGUACCGGGAGAAUAAGCGCCGGCUAACUCCGUG